UACGUAGGUGGCAAGCGUUGUCCGGAAUUAUUGGGCGUAAAGCGCGCGCAGGCGGUCCCUUGAAUCUGAUGUGAAAGCCCCCGGCGCAACCGGGGAGGGUCAUUGGAAACUGGGAGACUUGAGUGCAGGAGAGAAGAGUGGAAUUCCACGUGUAGCGGUGAAAUGCGUAGAGAUGUGGAGGAAAACCAGUGGCGAAGGCGACUCUUUGGCCUAUAACUGAAGCUGAGGCGCGAAAGCGUGGGGAGCAAACAGG
This 253-nucleotide unclassified non-coding RNA is filed under the name uncultured Caryophanales bacterium. RNAcentral's name for it is "uncultured Bacillales bacterium contains 16S-23S intergenic spacer region". It matches the Rfam family "Bacterial small subunit ribosomal RNA", at positions 524 to 776 of the family's 1533-position model. The record is from RNAcentral. Lineage: Bacteria; Bacillati; Bacillota; Bacilli; Caryophanales.